CGUGUGCGAAGGAGGGGUGACACGGUAAGGGGAAAGGGGAGCGGAGGAGGAGAGGGCUCAGGGACGCGGUGGCCGAGGAGGGGAAGAGAAUGCGGAAGAGGAGGGGUAAGGAGAGUAGAGGGACGGACCCAAUGGCGGCGGCAGCAGCGGGGUCCACUCAACAACGACCCCCACCCCGUCCCGCCCGACCACGGGAGCUCAAACGGUAACUGUUCCUUCAGCACCCACCUCCACUCUGCGACGACCUCAAGUUCCACCGACCUGCGGUGCUGCCCCGUUAUCUAGCCGUCGGACGCCGGGCGACUGGGGUUGGGGACGCCGGGCCUGGAAUCCAGGUCAAGUACAAUUGAUGGGCUUCGAACCGCUCAACACCACCAAUUAUUAAGGUAAACGAAACUGCUGUGAUCUAGUAAUCAGUGGCCUACAAUUCUGAAACUUCCUACUUCUUAUUUCUUGUUAGAUACUAAUCCGUCGGGUUGCAGUUUGUACUAACACGACUACCUACCCAAAACCGCACCACCACUCCACGAACUCCAGCGCUGAGACGCAGUCCUUGGAGGAGAACUCGCCCGAACAUGAAGUACCACCACUCCAGAUAGAACUACCAUCUGGUCAACCAACUAAUUUACGGUUAUCCUCGUCGAAUCACUUGGUAGCUACAUCAGAGUGACACGUAGUCAUAAAAACUGGAGUCGAGCAGAUAUGUAUACUAGGUACAUAGCAUAAAUCAAAGAGAGAUUCUGAACCAUACGGACACAAGACUACUAGGUUCCUUGAGACGGAGAGAAAACCUCUAGAAGGUGCAAAACCUCUGACAAUUUGGAACUAAACUUUUAGACCUACACAGAUACUGCUCAGUAGGUGGAACAUUCUAACAGUAAAUAGACAAUGGAUAAUCGUAGCUAGUUU
RNAcentral lists this ribosomal RNA (909 nucleotides) under Triticum aestivum (bread wheat). Its description in RNAcentral is "partial small subunit ribosomal RNA". The record is from RNAcentral. Lineage: Eukaryota; Viridiplantae; Streptophyta; Magnoliopsida; Poales; Poaceae.